Long non-coding RNA from Oncorhynchus kisutch (coho salmon), 1470 nucleotides. RefSeq lists it as uncharacterized. The transcript has 3 exons. The record is from RefSeq and is a predicted model, not a curated record. Lineage: Eukaryota; Metazoa; Chordata; Actinopteri; Salmoniformes; Salmonidae.
UUCCCAGGAUACUUUGCGAAUCAAAGAUGGUGGCUUGCAUAACAACGACCGUGUCAAAUUGUAUUUUCUUGUACAUUUCUUGCAUAAUUGAUCCAAAAGCUGUCUUAAACGCAUGUCUCCAACACGACUGCGUUAAAGGUAACGUUACCGUCAGGCUUUCCUAACUGAGGACCUGGCUGCUAGGUAAUGUUGACAGUUUAACUUGUAUACCAUCCUUUAUUUUAACGCGUAGGCCUACCAUUAAUUGUGUUGGUUGGCUAAGCCACACUUCCAUUGCGAAGUGCACAGCUUUCUGCACCAGCCUGAAUAAUUCUAGUUAUGUAGGGUGUCAAAUCCGAUCCAAAAGUCGAACGAGCACUAGAUGGCGCGCGCGAGCUAGAUUAAACAUUGCUCGAGAAGAAAUGUGGUCGAGCGAGCAGAGGACCGGUUCAGGGAGCGUAGACCGGUGUGGUGCGCACAUAUUACAGUUGAAAGUUUACGAGUGAGUGAGCAGAACUUCAUUCCCGCACGUAUUAAAUUAGAGAAGUUUUUUUGGUUAACCUGAAGAAAUAUUUUCUACAUAUCGAGAUUCAGAAAUUACUGCACUCACAAAUACGGGGGACUACCAACUAAUUGUAUGCCUUAAUUAAACAACUGCACAUAUUGCUCCACCUUCCUCAAUCUCCAUUGUCAUACUUUUGUUUACCUUUUUACCAAUGUCUAUGGAUUGUACAAGGAUUUUAAUUUGGGAGUUAAAGUAAAAAGCUGAGGGAUGGGGACAUGUAACAGCUCUCAAAUUCAUAGACUGCGUUAUGGAUGCAAGGACAGACCAUCGCGCCGCCUCCUUAAACCCCCAUAAGAGAUGACCCAAAGAUUCAUUGGGACAGCGCUUAUGUCAAAUGAUACAAUUCUGUUCUAAAUGACCGAGUCCAUCCUCACCACCUCCAUCACUGCAACGGAUUGUCUGGUCUGCUGAGAGGGUCAUUGGCUGUCCUGCACGAAUCGAAGGCAAAGAAGUGUGCUGGGAAGUUCAUUGCCGACCCCUUCCACCCCCUCUUCCAAACAUUCCCCUCUGUUCCCCAAAGGGGAACAGUUUCUUCCCCUUUGUCAUUGGCCCUCACCAACCGUCCACCUGGUCCUCUCAUCCAUGGACUUUGCACCUUACACUCCUAUUAUAUGCAUCAUUUAGCAUAUGUUUACAUUUUAGCCAUUUAGCUGACACUCGCAUCCAGAGCGACAUACAGGUAGCAAAUAAGGUAAAUUGCCUCGCCAAAGUGUACAUCGACAGAUUUUUCAGUCUGCUCGAGAUUUGAACCAGCGACCUGGAAGAACAGCCCAAUGCUCUUAACAUGUAGGCUACCUGCAGUUUAAAGUGUACAUACUGUAUGUGGAUAUUUUCUUUUUGUUUGUAUAUUCUGUUUGUGGCAGCACCAUUUCAGUCAAGUUCCUGAACAUGCAAAUGUAUUUGUUGAAUAAAGCUGAUUCAGUUUA